CAAGAACUUUCCUACAAAGUGCCUGUGAUGGAUUGAAUUAUUUUUCUCAACUUGUUACUCCCUUCUUUCCAUACGAGGAUUACAUAUCCCUUUCCCAUUGGCAUUGGUGACUUAUUUUGGCCAAUGAAAUGGGAGUGUAUGUGAUACACUCCUCAUACAUAGACAGAGUUUCACUCUUGUUGCCCAAGCUGGACAGCAGUGGCGCAAGCUUGGCUCACUGCAAACUCUGCCUUCCGGUUUCAAGCGAUUCUCCUGCCUCAGCCUCCGGAGUACCUGGGACUACAGGCACGCAUUGCGCCCAGAGAAAAACAGAUCUUCAACAGUUUUUUGAUGGAAAUAAACAAUUUCAGGUUGAGACAACACAUCAACUUCAUGCAUUCCUUCAGCUUGAAGUCAACUGGGCCUGGGUUGAAUCUGGUUCUGUUUUGUUGUUGUUUCAUUUUGUUUUUUAGCAUUUGACUAUGUACAGUCUCCAUUUCUAAGUCUUGAUUUCCUCAUUUAUAAAACGAAGCAACUAAAUGAUAUCCAAUACACUUGUUUUGAAAAUCAAAGAAUAAGCACGGCACCCAAGACAAUUUUUUGUAUCACAGGCACACAUGAAUGUUUUUUUCCUUUUCCUUUUCUUAUAAAAACCUAUAUUUUGUGACUUUUAUAUUUAUUCCUAGAUGCUCUCAUAUGUAUUAUCUCAUUUUUACAAUAACAUUAUAAAUAUAAACACUGUUAUGCUAUUUUACAGAUGAGAGACUUGAAGCACAGAAGGCUAAAACUACCUUUAACUUCUAAAGAAACUUUGUGAGAAGCAUCUGAGACUAUUGACAGUUAAAAUCCCUAU
Molecule: long non-coding RNA, 832 nt
Filed under: Pongo abelii (Sumatran orangutan)
Lineage: Eukaryota; Metazoa; Chordata; Mammalia; Primates; Hominidae
Description: lincRNA
Source: RNAcentral